Molecule: long non-coding RNA, 8423 nt
Filed under: Populus trichocarpa (black cottonwood)
Lineage: Eukaryota; Viridiplantae; Streptophyta; Magnoliopsida; Malpighiales; Salicaceae
Description: long non-coding RNA (PTRI_LNC001980)
Rfam family: Plant small nucleolar RNA R71 (bases 6633-6736)
Source: RNAcentral
GAAGAAAUUGUUCACAUAUUCAUAGUAAGGUUACAUCAAAAAUCCCAGAAUAAAAGUCUACUCCAUAGUUAAAUCAAGGAGAAACAAACUUGAUACGAUGAACAUCACUCAAAAGCAGAGAAUUUCAGUGGAAGAGAUAGGUGUCCUCCCGGUCUUCAAUAUUUUUGCCUCUGUUCUUGGUGUUCCUGUUGGUGCCGCCUCCUCUGUUUUUCUUUGUUAUGUUCAGGGUUUCUAAGUGUCUCCCCUCCUCUGUUUUUCUGACCCGUAACUCUUCUUUUAUAUUGUGGCUUUUCUACCCCUGCAGUAAUGAGGAAAAUUUCCUUUUCUGCAUUGAUUUCUCCUACCCAGACAUUGCGGGCCAGAUUUGAGUUAGGAAACGUGCGAAUUCAAAGAUCUUUAUUUCUGGAGAAAUUGUAGAGAAUCAAAUUUUCUUUCCAACGACACUGAUUUUGCAAUUUUUGGACCUCUGAGCGUUGAGAUAUGGGCUAUAAACCGAAACAGUCUUUGCAGUGCAGGAAUUUCGGGCUGGUUCAAUCCUUGUUUUUCAACUCGCUUUUUGGGCUUCGAAACAACAAAACUGAGUUAUAUGUCCUUCAUAUGUUUUGUAGACCUUCAUCUCAGCUAUUUGAAAAUGGUUACGAACAUCCGGAACUAAAUUGUAUAGCUUCUUUGCAGCACAUAAUGAAUCACUGUUCAGUUUCACUGCCCGGCUCUGCCUGUUCAGUAACCUAAGAUCUGAAAACACAUUAAUUUCCCACGAGGUCAAUAGUUCAAAAAGAGAUUCAAAAUUCUAAUUGUCUUGUGCAACAUAUCCAAAAUAUUUAAAAAUCAAGCAUGAAUAGCAGAAAAUAUACAUGCUAAAAAUUCCCUUAUCAAAUACCCCCAAACUUGAAUGUUUGCUUGUCCUCAAGCAAAAAGGAAACCAUGAAAGCAUAGUGCUAAAAGCUCAUGAUAAGUUCAACUUUGACAUUUAAAAGGCUCCAUCAUGCAGCAUUCACUUCUUGACUUAGCUCAUAGACAAUAUUAGAUAAUGGAAAACUAAGCAUUCCUACUCUCUGUGCAGACCGUUGUACAAACUUCCAACUCAUCCAUGUGUUUCAUGUGUUUAGCAUCCUUGAACCGUGCACAGUCAUUCUGCCAUUAUUUUUUUUUUUUUGAACAAGGUAGCCAACUUUAGGAGUAAUAACACACUUUUACUUGUCUUUUGACAAGGGUGAUUUUUUUAAAUUUAUCACUUGUCUUUUGACGCGAAUACAAACAUUUGUGAUGAAUGCACCCGGUUACUUAACAGGUCAUAAGCUUAAAAUGCUUUGCAUACUCAUAUUUUAAAGCUGCCGUUUGACGUAAAAGUAAACAUUUGUGAUGAAUACUCCUAGUUACUAAGCAACUCAAAACAUUGGAGUAGAUACACAUCAUAUACUUAUUCAUUCACUUUCAUACUCAUUAUCACUCCUUGUUUUGAUAUUUUUCUUAGAGGGUAAUAACAAAAAAGAACAGCACACUUAUCUCUUAUGCAUAACUACACAAUUCACCUGACUAUGCUGGAAAAGUGUACUUCAAUAAUUCAACAGAAAAUAGUCAUGCUUAAUCCAACUUUAUAAGAUAUUAUCCACUCUAAGCCUAGGAAUAUCAUGGAUACAUCAUGAAGCACCUAAAAAUGUCAAAGUUGGUCUUAAAUGCAUAUCACUUUUCACCCUCUGUUUUCAUGGUUCCAGUGUGCAGUGUUCUUUCAUAGUCAAAGCAUGCAAUGUCUCCCCCAAACUUAAAUAUCACAGUCCUCAAUGGAAAAACAAAGAAUAGAAAGGCUUACGAAUACUUCCUUUUGACUAUGUGGGUGUGAGUUUGUUGCUGCUCCUGGUUAUUUGCUUGUAUGAUCAAUCCCUGCACAACUCAAUAAAACAAAUAAGGUUUUUUUUUUUUUUGGGUUGCCUCCCAAUCAGUGCUUAGUUAUAGUCAUUAGCUUGACUUUUCCAUUUAGCUAAGAUGAAGUGAGAGGGAUAUCAUCCCUUUUUCCAAUAGACUCUCCAUUCCUAUAAUGCUUCAGACGCUGCCCAUUCACUGUGAAUGUUCCCUUUUCAUCAUGAGUGACCUCUACUGCUCCAUAAGGAAAUACUUUCACAACCGUAAAUGGUCCUGACCACCGUGAUUUGAGCUUACCAGGAAACAAGCGGAGCCGUGAAUUGAAAAGUAAUACCUGCUGACCAGGGACAAACUCCUUGCGUACAAUGUGUUUGUCAUGCCAUGCCUUGGUUCUUUCAUUGUAUAUCUUGGCAUUCUCAUAGGACUCAUUGCGAAAUUCAUCCAUCUCAUUAAGUUGCAGGAUUCGUUUCUCACCUGCAACCUGCAGAUCUAUGUUCAGUUGUUUCAUUGCCCAGUAUGCCUUAUGCUCUAAUUCAACAGGAAGAUGGCAUGCUUUUCCAAAAACUAAUCGAUACGGAGACAUUCCCAAUGGUGUUUUUAAUGCUGUCCGAUAUGCCCACAAUGCAUCAUCUAGCUUUCGUGCCCAAUCUUUCCGAGAAUUACUUACUGUUUUCUCUAAGAUUUGCUUCACCUCUCUAUUUGAUACCUCUGUUUGGCCAUUUGUCUGAGGAUGAUAAGCCAAUGCUCGUUUGUGUCUGACUCCAUACUUAGAUAGCAGUGCUUCAGACUGCUUGUUGCAAAAAUGAGUUCCUUCAUCACUGAUGAUGGCUCGAGGAGUACCAAAUCUGGUAAAGAUGUUCUUUCGUAGAAAAUUAAGUACCACCUUGCCAUCAUUUGUAGGCGUUGCAAUUGCCUCGAUCCACUUUGAUACAUAAUCCACUACUAAGAGAAUGUAUUUGUUGUUAUAUGAUGAAGGAAAAGGUCCCAUGAAAUCGAUGCCCCAAACAUCAAAUAAUUCAACUUCUAAGAUAUUCUGCAGUGGCAUUUCAUUUCGUCGAGAUAUAUUCCCAGUAUGCUGACAUCUAUCACAAGCAGUAACAAAAGCAUGAGCAUCUUUAAACAUAGUGGGCCAAUAAAAACCUGACUGCAGAACUUUGGCUGCAGUGCGCUGUGUUCCAAAGUGCCCCCCAUAUUCAAGUGUGUGGCAAUGCUUCAAUAUGUUUGUCAUUUCUUCUUCUGGAACGCACCUCCUGAUGACUUGAUCUGCACAAUGCCGAUAGAGUAUCGGCUCCUCCCAGAAGUAGUGUUUGACUUCAGAAAAAAAUUUCUUCUUUUGCUGGUAAGAAAAAUCUGGCGGUAUGAUUUUACCUGCAAGAAAGUUGACAUAAUCUGCAUACCAAGGAAAGAAUUUGUUAGUGGAAAUUGCUAAGAGUCUUUCAUCAGGAAAACAUUCAUUUAUAACCGUGAAUUUAGGCUCCAGCUGCUGUGUCAAUUCCAGCCUUGAAAGAUGAUUUGCCACCACGUUCUCAGUCCCCUUUUUAUCUUUAAUUUCUACAUCAAAUUCUUGCAGUAAUAGGAUCCAACAGAUGAGUCUAGGCUUGGCAUCUUUCUUAGACACUAGGUGUCUAAUUGCAGCAUGAUCAGUAUACACCAGCACUUUGUUUCCCAUCAGGUAAGGCCGAAACUUAUCAAAUGCAUAGACCACAGCAAGCAACUCUUUCUCGGUUGUGGCAUAAUUGAGCUGGGCAUCGUUGAGUGUUCUGCUGGCAUAGUAUAUGGUGUGAAACACAUUAUUUUUCCGUUGCCCCAGUACUGCUCCAACUGCAUAAUCACUUGCAUCACACAUAAGCUCAAAUGGUUUCUCCCAAUCCGGUGCAAUUACAAUAGGAGCUGUCACUAACUUCUUUUUCAACAACAUAAAGGCUGUCUUGCAUUCCUCAUCAAACUGAAACUUUGUGUCUUUUAGCAGCAGACUGCAUAGCGGUUUGGAUAUUUUAGAGAAGUCUUUGAUGAACCUCCUAUAAAAUCCCGCAUGACCAAGGAAACUCCUAACCCCUUUUACUGUAGUUGGUGGCAAAAGCUUAUCUAUUGCUUCAAUUUUAGCUAUGUCUACUUCUAUUCCUUUUUCUGAAAUCCGGUGCCCCAAUACUAUACCUUCCUUUACCAUGAAGUGACAUUUUUCCCAGUUCAAUAUCAAGUUUGUCUUUUCACAACGCUCCAAAACCAACGCCAACUUUGCAAGGCAGUCAUCAAAAGAAGUUCCAAAUACAGAAAAGUCAUCCAUGAAGAUCUCAAUGAUUUGCUCCACCAUAUCUGAAAAAAUAGCCAUCAUGCACCUCUGAAAGGUAGCUGGUGCAUUACACAACCCAAAAGGCAUUCUUCUGAAAGCAAAAGUACCAUAAGGGCAUGUGAAAGUGGUCUUCUCCUGGUCCUCAGGUGCGAUGGCUAUUUGGUUGUAUCCUGAAUAGCCAUCUAGGAAACAGUAGUAUUCAUGCCCAGCUAACCUGUCCAGCAUCUGAUCAAUGAAUGGUAGGGGGAAGUGAUCUUUGUGAGUUGCCUUGUUGAGCUUUCAAUAAUCCAUGCAAAUCCUCCAUCCAGUUACCGGUCUAGUAGGUAUCAAGUUGUUGUUUGCAUCCUUUACCACUGUCAUUCCUCCUUUCUUUGGCACAACUUGAACUGGGCUCACCCAUGAGCUGUCAGAGAUUGGAUAAAUAACACCAGCAUCUAACCAUUUCAGAACUUCUUUUCGGACUACCUCUUUCAUGGUCGGGUUAAGCCUUCUCUGAUGUUCUACUGUUGGCUUGACUUCAUCCUCCAACAGAAUUUUAUGCAUGCAAAUAGAGGGACUGAUGCCUUUGAUAUCUGCCAAUACCCACCCGAGAGCUGCCUUAUGUUUUCUCAACACCCUCAACAAUUUUUCUUCCUCUGUUUUGGUCAGCUUUGCAGAGACUAUCACAGGAUAGGUGGAAGCUUCUCCAAGAUAUGCAUACCAAAGGUGUUCUGGCAGAGGUUGCAAUUCCAGAACCGGUGCUUGUUCACUGGUUGAUUUUAUUUUUGGUGCUGGUUGUCCCAAAUCUUCAAAGUAUCUUCUGCGGUUAGGUUCAAAAGAGUCCAUCCAACAUGUAUAUUUUGCUAUUUCAGCAUCCUCUUCCAAUACAUUAUUUACCAAACAUGCUUCCAACGGGUCAGUUGGAAGCUUGACUUUGUCAUUAAUUAAAGAGUCCACCACUUAAAUGCUGAAGCAACUCUCCCCAAUAUCUGGCUGUUUGAUGGCUUUGAACACAUUGAAAAUCACCUCCUCUUCAUUCACCCUUAACCGCAGCUCCCCUUUCUUCACAUCAAUUAAGGCACCUCCAGUGGCCAAGAAUGGCCGGCCAAGCAAGAUAGGAAUCUCAUUAUCCUCCUCCAUAUCCAGAAUGAUGAAGUUUGCUGGAAAGAUGAACUUGCCCACUUUCACCAGUACGUCUUCAAUUAUUCCCCUUGGAUGCUUCAAUGACCUGUCAGCUAGCUGUAGUGUUACUGUGGUUGGCCUUGCUUCACCUAAACCAAGCUUCUUAAAAAUAGAUAAAGGCAUGAGAUUAAUACUUGCACCUAAAUCACAUAAAGCUUUUUCAAAUAUAGAAUUUCCAAUGGAACAUGGUAUAGUAAAACUCCCUGGAUCCUUAAGUUUAGGAGGCAGUUUCUUCUGUAAAAUGGCACUGCAUUCCUCAGUAAGAGCAACAGUCUCAUAUUCCUCUAGCUUUCUUUUGUUUGAGAGGAUGUCCUUCAAAAAUUUCACAUAGCUUGGCAUUUGUUCAAGAGCAUCUGCAAAAGGAAUGUUAAUCUGCAAUUUUUUAAACACAUCAAGAAAUUUAGAAAAUUGCUUAUCAAGUUUAUUCUUCUUGAGACGUUGUGGAAAUGGAAUUCUCUGCAUUAUUUCUUGCGUUGGUUCUGGCAGAGGAUCAGAUUUUUUCAUAUUCUGAAGUGGUUUGGCCACUUGCUCCUCCUCUUCUCUUCCUGCACUCUUGUUUCCAGCGGUCUGCUCCACUUCUUUUCCACUUCUUAAAGUUAUGGCCUUGCAUUGCUCCUUAGGAUUAAUUUCAGUUGUGCUUAGUAGAGUUCCUUGUUGUCUACCCGUGAGCAUGUUGGCUAACUGACCAACUUGAACCUCCAAAUUUCAAAUAGAAGCUGCUUGGUUCUGCAGAUUAGUAUUUGUUUCAGUCAUGAAUCUGCUGGUGUUGUUUGCUAAUUGUGUCAUAGCUUCUUCAAGUUUAGAUUUCUCUUUCAUGUGCUCACUUGAAGAUGGCAUAGCUGGAUUCUUCAUGACAGUUUGAUUGUUCCAUGAGAAAUUAGGAUGAUUUCUCCAACCGGGAUUAUAUGUUGCACUGUAGGGGUUAAUCUGCCGGCUGUAGUUUGACACAAAAUGAGCAUGCUCUGCUUGAGAGAACGGGUUCCCAACCUGACACUCUUCACUUGUGUGAUUUCCAUGGCAAAAAUCACACGUUGUAUGGAUGGCAUUUGCUAACAGUUGAGUGGUUUUCAGUUGCUGAGUUAGUGAAUGGACUUGAGCUGUUAAUGCCGUGAUUGCAUCAAUUUCGUGCACCCCAACAGUCUUCUUCUGUAUGCUUCUUUCAUUUGGCCAUUGGUAAUUGUUCAUAGCCAUUUCUUCCAAUAAGUUGUAAGCAUCAUCCUGUGACUUACUCAUAAAAGCUCCUCCUGAAGCUGCAUCAAUUAGUGUUCUUGUGGAGGCAUUCAAUCCAUUGUAAAAAUUCUGCACCUGCAUCCACUUCGGUAGUCCAUGGUGGGGACAUCGCCUGAGCAAAUCCUUGUAUCUCUCCCAUGCCUCAUACAAUGGUUCACUCUCAAGUUGGGCAAAGUUAGCUAUCUCAAUGCGCAUUUUUGCUGUCUUGGCUGGUUGAAAAAAUUUAGCAAGGAAUUUCUGAGCUAAAUUUUCCCAGCUGAUAACUGAAUCUGCAGGCAUGGAGUUUAACCAGUUCUUCGUUCUAUCUCGCAGAGAAAAUGGAAACAGUCUGAGACGAAUGGCAUCAUCAGUAACGCCAUUAUGCUUAAAUGUGUCGCAAAUUUCCAAGAAACUUGCAAUAUGGGCGUUAGGAUCAUCACUUGGCAACCCAUAAAACUGAAUUGAGGUCUGAAUCAUUUGCAGUAUUGCUGGUUUGAUCUCAAAAUUAUUGGCCUCAAUCCUUGGUUUCCUGAUAACAGAACGGAUUCCUGUCACCUGUGGGAGAGCAAAAUCUCUCAAUGCCCGUGUGUCUUGCUCAGGAUUUUCAUUGUUUGCCAUGAAGCCUGAACUGUUUUGAAUUUCUCGCGUUUUCUUUCUUAAUCCCCUUGCAGUUUUCUCAAUCUCAGGAUUAUAAGGUAGCAACGGAUGGUUUUUGUUGCUUCUCAUGCACUAGACAACACACCUAAAGAGCUGAAGACAAAAGGCAAUCAAAUUAGAUCAAAUUUAAUUUAUAUUGAUAUUAUUAGUAAUUUUAUCUAAAAUCCCCGGCAACGGCGCCAAAAACUUGUUGGUUAAUUUCGCAAGUGCACGAAUCGUAACAAGUAAUAAAGUGAUAAGUAGAGUAUCGUCCCACGAGGAUUUGUAAAAAUUACUACUAAUUACCAAAGUCUUUUAAAUUAUGAUCUAUUUGAGGAAUCGAAUGAGAUAGUUUAUGAAACAAAAAUUAAUGAUUAAAAAAAAAACAAACAACCAAAUGAUUAAAUAUUAAUUAAUUAAAUUGUACUGGUUCUAGGAUUUAUGACUUACCGUAACUAUGCCUAUGUGAACUUUCUCGAUUAAAUUAAUUACUCCUAAUGUUGAUAAUCAGGUUUUCCUAAUGUAAAUAUUAAUCUCUCUCGAGCAUCAAUAAAUUAUUUCGACAAACAAAUUUCAUAUACUCUACGAAAGUUCUGAACUUGUCGAAAUUAAUUAAAUACUGUAAAACCUGUAACGAUUACAAAAGUUCCUAGGAUAUCUCUAUCCUAUAGAUUUCUUAAGGUAUUUCAAACAAUAGCUAAAACAAUUAUCACUUCUCAGUUUCAAAUUGAAUUCUAAAUCAUGCAGAUGUUGGCCAAACACACGCAAGCAUUACACAUAGAAUGAAAUACUCAACAUCUUAAUGUAAUAAUUCAAUCGAAGAAAUUGUUCACAUAUUCAUAGUAAGGUUACAUCAAAAAUCCCAGAAUAAAAGUCUACUCCAUAGUUAAAUCAAAGAGAAACAAACUUGAUACGAUGAACAUCACUCAAAAGCAGAGAAUUUCAGUGGAAGAGAUAGGUGUCCUCCCGGUCUUCAAUAUUUUUGCCUCUGUUCUUGGUGUUCCUGUUGGUGCCGCCUCCUCUGUUUUUCUUUGCUAUGUUCAGGGUUUCUAAGUGUCUCCCCUCCUCUGUUUUUCUGACCCGUAACUCUUCUUUUAUAUUGUGGCUUUUCUACCCCUGCAGUAAUGAGGAAAAUUUCCUUUUCUGCAUUGAUUUCUCCUACACAGACAUUGCGGGCCAGAUUUGAGGUAGGAAACGUGCGAAUUCAAAGAUCUCUAUUUCUGGAGAAAUUGUAGAGAAUCAAAUUUUCUUUCCAACGACACUGAUC